GACGAACGCUGGCGGCAUGCCUAAUACAUGCAAGUCGAGCGAACAGAUGAAGUGCUUGCACUUCUGACGUUAGCGGCGAACGGGUGAGUAACACGUAAGGAAUCUACCUAUAAGCGGGGGAUAACAUUCGGAAACGGGUGCUAAUACCGCGUAAUAUCUUCUUCCGCAUGGAAGAAGAUUGAAAGACGGCUCUGCUGUCACUCAUAGAUGACCUUGCGGUGCAUUAGUUAGUUGGUGGGGUAACGGCCUACCAAGACGAUGAUGCAUAGCCGACCUGAGAGGGUGAUCGGCCACAUUGGGACUGAGACACGGCCCAAACUCCUACGGGAGGCAGCAGUAGGGAAUCUUCCGCAAUGGGCGAAAGCCUGACGGAGCAAUGCCGCGUGAGUGAAGAAGGCCUUCGGGUCGUAAAACUCUGUUAUAAGAGAAGAACAAAUUGUAGAGUAACUGCUACAGUCUUGACGGUAUCUUAUCAGAAAGCCACGGCUAACUACGUGCCAGCCGCCGCGGUAA
This 513-nucleotide ribosomal RNA is filed under the name uncultured bacterium. RNAcentral's name for it is "partial 16S ribosomal RNA". It matches the Rfam family "Bacterial small subunit ribosomal RNA", at positions 28 to 523 of the family's 1533-position model. The record is from RNAcentral.